This 253-nucleotide ribosomal RNA is filed under the name uncultured bacterium. Its description in RNAcentral is "partial 16S ribosomal RNA". It matches the Rfam family "Bacterial small subunit ribosomal RNA", at positions 524 to 776 of the family's 1533-position model. The record is from RNAcentral.
UACGGGGGGGGCAAGCGUUGUUCGGAAUUACUGGGCGUAAAGGGCUCGUAGGCGGCCAACUAAGUCAGACGUGAAAUCCCUCGGCUUAACCGGGGAACUGCGUCUGAUACUGGAUGGCUUGAAUCCGGGAGAGGGAUGCGGAAUUCCAGGUGUAGCGGUGAAAUGCGUAGAUAUCUGGAGGAACACCGGUGGCGAAGGCGGCAUCCUGGACUCUUACUGACACUAAGGCGCGAAAGCGUGGGGAGCAAACAGG